RNAcentral lists this long non-coding RNA (872 nucleotides) under Homo sapiens (human). RNAcentral's name for it is "non-protein coding lnc-GLRX3-2:1". Lineage: Eukaryota; Metazoa; Chordata; Mammalia; Primates; Hominidae. The record is from RNAcentral.
GUCCUUGCCCAGUGUAAGUUUCCUGGAGCUGCAGCAGCCUUUUUGUCACCAUGAGGGCAGCUGGUGGGAACCCUAGGAAAGCAGGAAAUCACCUAGAGCCGGAACAGCCUGAGCCUCUGAACCAACCCACAGCUGACUACCCGUCACUUUGUCGUGUCUCUGUGAUUUGAGUCCAUCAUUCUGCUGCAGUUGAAGUUCUACAGACUGUACACGAAGCAACGGUGUCAGCAUCUGCUUCCAGUGGGGCCUCAGGAAGCUUUCAAUCAUGGCAGAAGGCCAAGGGGCAGCGGGGUCUCACGUGGCAAGAGAGGGAGGAGGAGGUGCCAGCCUCUUUAAACAAUCAGCUCUUGCAUGAACUCUUAGAGCCAGAACUCACUCACUACCUGGAAGACGGCAUGGAGACAAUAAUGAGGGAUCCACCCCCAUGACCCAAACUCCUCCCACUAGGCCCACCUCCAGCACUGGUGGUCACAGUUCAACGUGAGAUUUGGAGGGGACAAACAUCCAAACCGUAUCACCCCUCAACCCCUCAACUACACCUGGUUUGCUCCUUGUUUUCUAGAUUUUGACUGAAAUGUCCCCUUCCCGGCAAAGCCGUGUGGACCACCCGGGCUAAAGCAGCCACCUGGUGCUGGCCUGUGUGGCCCAAUUCCAGUUCUCCAGGGUGCUCAUCACUCUGUGGCAGUUUGUCUUCUGGUUUGUGAGAGAAGAAUAAAUCUGAGGGACCCAAAAUCACUAAAGGGAAAAGUCAAGCUGGGAACUGCUUAGUGCCAACCUGCCUCCCCUUCUAUUCAAAGUCACCCCUCUGCUCAAUGAAAUAAAUGCAUAUCUGAUUGCCUCCUUUGGAGAGGCUCAUCACAAACUCAAAAGAA